CAGCCGCCGCGGUAAUACGUAGGGUGCAAGCGUUAAUCGGAAUUACCGGGCGUAAAGCGUGCGCAGGCGGUUCGGAAAGAAAGAUGUGAAAUCCCAGAGCUUAACUUUGGAACUGCAUUUUUAACUACCGGGCUAGAGUGUGUCAGAGGGAGGUGGAAUUCCGCGUGUAGCAGUGAAAUGCGUAGAUAUGCGGAGGAACACCGAUGGCGAAGGCAGCCUCCUGGGAUAACACUGACGCUCAUGCACGAAAGCGUGGGGAGCAAACAGGAUUAGAUACCCUGGUAGUCCACGCCCUAAACGAUGUCAACUAGCUGUUGGGGCCUUCGGGCCUUGGUAGCGCAGCUAACGCGUGAAGUUGACCGCCUGGGGAGUACGGUCGCAAGAUUAAAACUUAAAGGAAUUGGCGGG
Molecule: ribosomal RNA, 408 nt
Filed under: uncultured microorganism
Description: bacterial SSU rRNA
Rfam family: Bacterial small subunit ribosomal RNA
Source: RNAcentral